This is a long non-coding RNA of Carya illinoinensis, 813 nucleotides long. RefSeq lists it as uncharacterized. NCBI's taxonomy places the organism in Eukaryota, Viridiplantae, Streptophyta, Magnoliopsida, Fagales, Juglandaceae. The transcript is spliced from 2 exons. The record is from RefSeq and is a predicted model, not a curated record.
UAUAUUUUAUUUUUCUUUUGGGCCCAACCCAACCCGUGAGCCUUCAUUUUGGGCCCAAGCCCAUUCGGAAACCAAGCCUAAUCCGUAAGCCAUGAAACCCAGCCCCUUGGCAAUAUGGCGUCGUUUGGCAUGCCUUAGGGCUUCUUCUUCCUUUUUUUCUUUCCUUCUCAGCGCCGUUCUCAUUUUUCUUCUUCUUCCUUUAGCUGUCGCAACUCUCUUCCACCAUUCUUGAACUGGUCGGCUAAAGCCUCAUUUCGCACCUUCUUUCCUCUUCUUUGUUGUCUUACGUAUUUCUUGUUAUUGUGGUGUAAAAGCUUUGCUUUUUCUCUUGUUUUACCUCUUGAAUCACGAUCUGUUUGGCUCUUGAAAUUAUCCUUUGUUUUGCCUCCAAACAUGAAACUUGAGACCCGGUCCGGAUGGCGUGGAGGUUGGGAAGGGCGUGCGGCUGUGCAAAGGGCGUUCGAUGAAGAUCCCAAAUGCCCACCAAUCAACGACGUUCCCGUGCGAUCCACCGAACACGACCUCCUGUGCCACGUAUUCGUGGGUUCCGUCAAAGGAACACAACUGGUUGUCUACCGGCUUAGUCACGAAAAGUCGGUUGGAGGUUAGGGUUCAUGGGGUCGAUGGAGCCGGGAAGGAAGAUGAGGAUUGUAUGGAAUGUAAACGGAGCAGUGCCUAAAUCUUCUAUGUACACGGAAACAAAAACAGAAUUAAAAUUUCCUGUUUAUUCAUGUAGCAAUGUGAUAGACAUUUAUUGUUAUAGAUAGAUAUUCUGCAAUAUCAUAAUAAAGGGCAUAAAAGUAAUAUGAUAAA